GAUAUCGCAAAUGGCGACUACCGCGUCGGAGAGCGAAGAAGAGCGAAUGGAGAAAAAAGUUAAAAAGAGAGCGCAGAAAGUGGGAAAUAAACGAUGCUAUAUGCAUCUUUUUUCCGUGAAGAAGGAGAACGUCUUGGACUCCACUUUUCAACGGUGGAACACGUACAGAACCUGCUUAAAAAGUGGCUUUGUCUUCACAGCGCUAACAAGGAUCUUGCAGGAAUAUACAAGCAUUGCGUGGAUAUGGAUUUUGAAAAUAUUCCUGGUGUUGCACGGGUUGCCUGGGAGACGUCAGGCGGGUGUAUGCGCAUGCGCGCGCGGGGAAAAGAGAGCGCGCGCCGGAAGGCGAGAGAGUCUAGCUACGUUGAGGCAGUCGGACGUUAAGUGUGUGCGCAGCAGUAAACGCCACCCGUUAUAAAGAAAUCAAGAGCAGUCAUCCUCUUUUUCCACCUGUCACCUCACGAGUCACGCGAGGGAGGUAACACUGGCGACGCUGGAUUCCACAUUAAUGUUACCGGCGUUUCACUGAUAAACAGAAAUUGUUAAAGGCUGAGAAAAAAUCCGCACGUGCUGGGGGAGAGCCAUCUGCAGCCGCGAGCCAUUCUGACCCCCCUGCGAGUACUAGCGAAGUUGCAGAAGCGUCCGAAAGUCCCAGAAAAAACACUUCGUUCCCGUUCUGGUUUGCCCAUCGCUUCUGCUGGCCCUGUCCUUCCAGCCACCUGCAUUAUUUGUAAAAAAAAGUGUCAAGGUAUGCUCGUUUAAUGGGAUCGGAAGGCAUACGGCAGCGGGAUCAUCUCGCCAAAGCAGAGACAUUGUCGGCAGGCUGGUUGCUGCAGGCAGUAGAGAUGAAGAAAGACUCUUCAAUCCUUCUACAUAUCAAAGACAAAGACUGUGUUGCAAUGGAGGUGCGAUACCAUAAAUCCUGUUACCGAGAUUACACCAGGUUCCUAACCAAGUCAACAGCAGCAGAAACUGCAACGAGGGACGAAGAACUAUGAGUUAUUACAUUGCACUAUUCCAUUGACACUUUGCUAAAAUUACACAUUUCAAAGACAACCCUAUGCUGAGCGCUACAAACUCUUUUGUGAGCAAGUGAUCCGUCAAAGGAUUAUCGUUGACAAAGAAGUGCUCAGAAUGGACAAGCUAAGAAGGUUGUUCGUGAACACCGUGAAGAACCAUGAGUAUCUUGAUGCUUCAGACUACAGGUAGGUUUUGCUGAAAAGAAGACUGAAGCGUGAUUUCCCCCAGUUGGUUUUUCACACCCCUUUCCAGCGCACCAUGUCUGAAAUGUUUUUUUUUUUGUUGUUUUUUUGGGAGACAUUAUCAACAACAGACAAACUUUUAGACAGGAUACCUCAGUCAUCGGCUACAUUAGCAACCAAAUCUACUGAGGGUCCACCCCAAGGCCUACCAAGCAACAGCUGACAUUCAGUGGUUCUGACUCCAACCAGAAAACAAGGACGAAGGCGGCGUCCACUCGGCCUUCCUGAGGUGGUAGCUCUGAAUCAACUCUCUUGCCUCAUGCGGCCCUCCGUUCGAUCCCUUACAUCUCACACUUUAAAGACAGGGACACUGAUUUGGUCUUUCCAUAAGCCUUUGAAUAAAUUUAGGGUGAAAGUUGGACGUUUAGUUGCAUACACAUCUAUAUAAGCAAGCUAGGGGUGGCGGUAGCAACCACCUUGACAAACAUACAGAGUGAGUGUUGCAUGAUGAGUUAAAAUUCUUGUUCACACACUUCACUACUAUUUAGAUCUAAGACAUGAAGCUUUAGAACUGGGACCCAUGGUGAGACAAUGCCGUUUGGCAACAGAUUGGACAUGAGUUCAACUACCCUAUGUCAUCAAUUCGUCAAGUACUGAAUGUUUUUGUAUACAGGUCACUGUGGUGGAUGUGGAGGUGUUGGAACAUACGAGGUUGAUACAUUUUCAGCGUGGUGAGCUUUCGGACCACGAGGACGCCGAACAGCUGUUGAACUUGCUGCCGGACUCACUGUGGUCCGAAGGACCUGGUGACAUUGGACUGCAUCACGGUGACUCAUGUCAUAUUUGAGGUAGAUCCGAAUACUUUUGUCAAUGUGCCCCAGCACCCCUGUAAACAGGAGGCAGCCAAAGACAUUACAGAGACGUACGAGAGGCUGCCAAAGGGCAGGGUCUUGGAAGAAUUGGUCUCUGCCUUCAACAGUCCUAUUUUGAUAGAAAAUCGACUGAAAACUGUUUGAAAGCAACCCACACCUUGUUACUCUUUCUUGGUGAUUUGGGGUUCAAGGUUUCCAGGAAGAAACUCCAGUGUAGAUGAUCGGUGCCAUUUCUAAGACAUGAUUUCGAUUAGGUGCUCACUCCGAGUACUUCACAAUUUUCCUCCAUUGUGCCAUAUCCUCGAUGGACUAAUGUUAAAAUUUUACUCUCUUUUCUGGAUCUCUGAGGUUGAUCCCAGAGCUUUAUCCCUAAAUUUGCUGUAUGGACUGGAAUUAUGCAAGGCCUAAGCAAGAAAUAUGCAUAAAUGAUUCCUAUGACUACUGACUGGACUGACAAUACUGGAAUGGGCCUUUGCACUAAGGAAGUGGUGGUAAUGGACUUUAUGUACAUGGUGGUGCAGGUCCAAACGAAACCAAUCUCCCUAAAAUGAGUUAAAUUCCCUUGUUUUGUCUACUAGAAAUAAGUGAAACUAUCUUCAAACCAAUUUUACACAAAUUUCCGUGAGUGUAAAAAUAGCUAGCUGAAAAUAAUCUUGACAAAUUUAUUUUAAGAAAUGAAUUAGCGUGUUUAAUCUUGAAAAAAUAUUUGUUUAUAGUUUGGUAGAGAUAUGUUUUUAAAUCAAGAAUGGAUAUUGUUCAAUGACUAUAAUUGUAAGCAAUUUUUUCUUGAUUUGGGUGAAAAUAUACAAACUUUUAGACAUAUGGGCUUAAUAAGAAGAAAUUGUCAUAUUUACUUAAAAUAAAUGGAAUAAUCUGACGCAUUAAUCUGCUAACUGGUUUUUAACACUCUAAACAAGUCAGAGAAAAUCAUUUGAUCAGAUUUUAGAAAAAUUAUCUGAUUAGGACAUUAUAAAUUUGUGGUGUACCUGUUGCUGAUUGUUGACAUUUUCAGGGUGGCAUGGGGCCUAACUAUUUGGAUGCUCUGCCCGUCAUCAGAGCAUUAGUUAACUACUAUAUUCGAAUUUAUGGGUUCCUGGAAUUAAUCAGAUUGUGUUAUGGCAAGAAUUUCACGACAAAUUCUUAUUUAUUUGAUAGGGAAAGUGCACAUUACGAACAUUAUUUAGUCGCAGAUAAAAAAAACAUAGAUUUGCCUUAUAGCAAAAAUGCUAAAUUCUUUGGCUGCUGUUAAAUCCAUGCUGGGACUCAGGCACAUAUUUGGUUCCGCAUAUCAUCCUCAAUCUCAAACUCUUGUGGAGUUAAUGAAUCGCAUCAUCAAACAGCGCUUGGUGAAAAUGUGUGCACAAACAGGGCUUAUUUGGCUCCAAGCCCUGCCUCUUGUUAUGUUUUCCAUCAGGCAACUUGUUAACUGCCGGACAGGGUUCACAAUUUUUGAACUCCUGACUGGUCGCCUGAUGCCCUGUCCAGCCUCGGCUUUGCUCCAGCCCAGGGGUCGCGUUAACCGAAUAUUUUCCGUCGUUGACCGAUUUUUAAAAACGGUGACGGAAAAAACUGAAGUCCAUCCGUCAUUUUGACAGGUUGCAAUUCACACCCCAGACCACAGGGUGGAGAGUGGGCAUAUUAAUUAGCUAUUGUCUCUCUUGAUGCAUGACGUCGUUGGCUUUACUCUGAAAAAUGUCAAGGCAACUGAGUGUCCAAAGUUUCUUCAAAAAGCCCCAAAACGACGAUGGUGUUGAUAAAAGAGGUGAAAAAACAGGGACUGCACAAGCGGGCACGCAAUUCAAGUCCAUGCGCACCAGGAGGAAGACUGCGUUCAGGCCACAGCAGGUGAACUAUUAAUUUCAUUGUUCCAUACCUACCUGGGCCACAGUCAGCUGUUUUUGUCACAGCGGAGAAAAAGUUACAUAUUCAUCUGCUUGAUGUGUGAUGGCAUGGUGUGGAUUCUCUGUUAAGCUUGUUCGGACAGAAUAUUAAUUGGAAUGAAAACUAAACACUAGUGAUAGGACGAAAUGGGCCGAGGUUCCGAAGCUUGUGUCGAGUAAAGGGAGGGGUGUUUCCACGAAGCGCCACGAAGAGGCGCGCGUCAUUUCGGCAGAACCCGGAAACGAUGUCGUGAGAAGCCUCGCCGGCCGACUGAAUCUAGUUAACGCUUCGGAAGUGAUCCGACGUUCGGCGCGCAUUGCAAACACAGUAGGCUACAGACUACGGUAUAAAUUGGUUGCAAAACGCAAUGGCGAUCGCCUGUUAUCUCACAUUUUGUGCAUUUCGGGCUCCUGUACUUGUUACAUGAUCUGUGCGCAACAGUGCAACCAGUGCAAUCUUUUUUCGAGCCUUGUCCUUUGCUUGCGAUGGAAACUGCGCAAAAAAAGCGACCCUCCCCUGUAUGGGAACAUUUUCAUUUGAUUGCUUUCAAUAAGGUAAGGGAGAAGAACUACAUUAAUAUAAAUGUGAGUGUGUGUACCUAUCUGAACCAAACAUCAACAGAAUGAACAAUCCAAUAGUGUACUGGGAGGCACAAAAGAAUACCUACCCAAAUUUAUAUAAACUGGCACUCACAUUUAUCUGCACCCCAGCUUCAUCUGUGCCUUGUGAAAGAAUAUUUUCUAAAGCUGGUGCAAUAUUGUCCAAAAAAAGAAACCGUUUAAAGCCAGCCACUGUGGGAAAGCUAUUAUUUCUCAACAAAAUGAAUAACAAAUUAUCCUUAGCACUUGUUGUAUUUUGUUCACAUACUAAAUUACUAACAUAAGCACAUUCAUAUCUUUGUCAUAAUCAAAUAACCAUUGAAUUCUUAACAAUGUUGACCACUUGGGCUUGUAGACCAGGGGUCUCCAACCCAGUCCUCAAGGCCCACUGUGGGUCCUGAUUUUUGUUCCAGCUGAUCCAGCAGAGACAGUUGAACCAAUGAGGCUUCUGCUAAAACAAGCCACACCUGACAGCAAUCAACUGAUUGCACUUGUAAAACACCAGAUUGGGGAAAAAGUGUUGUCAUCUUGUUUGGUAAGAAUGAAAUCCUGCACCCACAGUGGGCCUUAGUGGAAUAGGUUGGGGACCCCUGUUGUAGACCACUUGAUGGCGCCAUAGAGUAAAUGAAGCUUUGCUACAUGUGCAAACCGAUUGGCUGCAAAGCUUCAUUGCUUCAUGAGGCUUCAUUUGGCCAUCACUACUAAAUACUGUUGAAGCGGUAUGCAAUGUUAAGAGUCUUGUUAGCUCGAAUUGCUGUGUCCAACCGCUAUAGCUCUGCUGCUCUCUGUGAACUCUCUAUUCACGCCGGAACGUGCGCGGCUCUUAAAUGUCUCUGUCACGUGACUGUGUCGUAGCCGGUAACGCGCUCGGCCAAAUGGACACACAAUUACGGAAGGUGAAUUAUGCCAAACAAAGGGUCACCACAAUGUCAUUAUCAUCAUUUAAAAAAUUUAAGUGACUGGUAAAAAUAGAUUAUGACCGGAUUUUUAUGACCCUGUCAGUCAAAAUGACAGACAACGAAAAAGUCUAGCGCAACCUCUGCUCCAGCCGGACGUGGAACCGCCCAAGGGCUACAAGCCCUACUAGGAGCAGUUGUCUUUUCGUGUCAUCACUUUGUGUUUCAGAUCCUGCCCUUGAGAACGUCUCAUGCUGUCCGCCUCUCUGGACGGAGGACAGGUACCAUGUGUCACAGACUCGCCCAGUGCCUGUUUCUGGCCUUUCAUUUUCGGUUCAGUAACUUUUUGCCACUCUUAUCUUACUCGUUUUGGGGUUAUUGUUCGCUAGAUUUUAUAAUCGUUGAUUUGUUUCUGUGGCGUUUUUUUUUUCUUCUUUUUCUGUUGUAUAGGGAGUAAACUAACAAAAAAGGGGUCAAAUAUGUUUGGCCGAAAACUGCUGUCAUCAUGACUCUGGUGAUCGUUCUGAUUUUAGUUUCAGGAACUUAUUUCGGGCUAGAGAAACUUUGGCUGACAGACCAAAAUGAUCUAACAACGUCUGGGAUGUCCGAAGUGUCGAGAGGUAAAUUGUCUUGUACAGUAUGUGGUUACAUCCAGUGUGCCUCUGUCAGAGGUGAGUAUAGACCCUGCCCACGUGACGUCACAACUCCUUCCUCCUGACUGGUGCCGCCCAUUUGUCCGUCAACACAUCAUGUUUACCUGUUACGGCUACGUACAUUCCUCCUAUUUACGUGUUUUUCUGCUCGUUAACAUUAAUAAUCAAAAUGGUGAAGGCGUGUGUGGCGGUCGGUUGCAAUAACAGAGAAGAUAGACGGAGAAGACGGAGAGACUUGAAGUUCUACCGGAUUCCGAGAGACCCGGAGAGAAGAGAGCGAGAUGGGCUGCUGCAAUUCGACGAGAAAACUGGGCUCCAAACGAUUACCACAGAUUAUGUAGUCGUCAUUUUAUAUCUGGUAAGAUGCAUUUAAUAUAUAUUUAGAGGGUUUUGGGCUGACAACCACAAUUAAGAUCAUUGCUCGGCUAAUCGCCGACAACAUACACGUAUGUAUGUAGUGAGAGUGCUAUCGCUAAACCAUAUAAACAUUAAAAGCCCUAACUCCAUUGACAAACGACAUGAAAUACAUUAGACUUGACAGUGGAUGUUAGCAAGAACAAAAGAUUUUGAAUUGAAAAUUUCGUAACUCACCUUUCCAAGCACAAGAUAGAUUCCUGCCGAAUUUUCGUGGACGAGGACCUGUUUCACCCAACCAGCAACAAAGUAUUUAUAAGCCUCCAAGCUCUUAAAGUUUUUCAAACUUUCGUGAGAAUAGGCUUAUUUUGUGUGGACAAGAUAGUUGUACAUAUCAGGGUAGCUAGCAGAUGUCAGGCAAAUACGGCGGAGACAGCGGGUCGAAAAACAUCGAUUUAGGCAUCAAAUAUGGAUCUGGCGAAUGGAUAAACUGAAGCUUUUCCACAUAACGCCUUUUAUGCAACGCAUCAAGUGAGUUUACGGCAUCCAAAAGCACCGGGUCUUCCAUGAAAUGCAUUAUAAAUUGCUCGAUCAAUUGAGACCAUUGAUAAUACAGACACAAAAUGACGGACAAGGGGGCGGAACCAUACAGCGAGCACGUGGUUUUGUGACGUCGGUGGGUAGGGUCUAUAAAUGAAGCCAAUUGUAUUGUUUGUGUUAAUUGUUGACGAGACGUUGCUGCUUAGCAUGGAGCACUGAGAUAGUUAGUGAUUUUGGUUAUUAGUGAUUUAAGGGUCCGGUUGUAUUGUGUUUUGGAGAAGCAAAAUUACACUUGAGUUAUUGUUAGAUAGUAAAGUGGUCUCAUUUCUGUUUUAUGAAGAAACCAUACAGAUAAAUGGCAUUGAUUUAUUAUUUCCGUAAUAAUCCAUAACAGCCUUAGUCUCCUUUCUACACGAGCUCCCGUUCGAACUGUAAAUAGUCAUAAAAGAGAGUGCGCUUUGUAAUUGGAUUUGGUUUGUAUUUAUUCUAUUUUUUUGAUCAAGCUCGCCGAUUCAUUUUUAUUCAAUUCAGUUUUAUUUGUAUAGCCCUAUGUCACAACAAGGUUGUCUCAAACGCUUUGCCCACAGGAUAUAAUAUGUCAAACAGCAGCACAUUCCUAUUUGAAAGAACAGGACUACUUCUUAUUUGUGUACUGAGAAAUUGUUUUAAGGUUUUAUACAUAGGUCCGUUACUGACUACUUGGAACAAGUUUUAUGCACUUAAAACGGUACAUUUGUAGACUACAGUUAAGUCAGGAUGCUGUAAUAAAGUAUUUUGCAAGGAAAUAGUUAUUCCGUUUUUCAUUGUCACUCAUAAUAUGCCCAAUUCAACUUCAAAUUGAAUUGUGAUUAAUUAAGAAAUUGACAUUUAUCCGAUUAAUCGAUUAUUAAAUAAUCAUUAGUUGCAGUCCUAGGUUAGAGUUUUUUUCCAUUGGUUAUCCGAAACUAAAAUUUUGACUGUAUUUAUUAUUAUAAUUGUCGAAGUCAGAUUUAUUUUGCCUCCAUAUUAGCGUUUAGGUUCAUGAACGAUUUCCGACUAUUUCCUGCAUGGCAUGUCAGUAUAGAGUACCCUCGACUGCCUGUUAGUUGCAACAGGGGGUGCACGUACUCGUAUUAAAUUGUUCUAAUAUUAACAGUUUUAACAACACGGCUAGGGAUAGGAUGGUCACCGGAACCAUGAAAGGAUUGCAAGUCAUAUCUAUUAAUUAAAAUUCUGUGUUGGGGGUGUUAAGUAGGUAUUUCGGUGCUUGUAUGUGGCUGUGGUAUCUUUGUCUUAGGAGUUUUAUUACUUUUUUCCAGGAGACCAUGGUGAGAGAAGAUCCAUUGGGCCAAUGUUAACUUGAACCUCUGAAUCCUGAGGUUAUGGUGGAGCUGACCCUUGUCUCCAUGGGGAUGGGACAGUGUCCUUACUUUGCGUUGUUGUCUGCAUUCUAGAUUUCUUUUUGUGGUUUUUUAUUUUUAUAUUAUAGGCACUUUCAUUUAUCUUAAUUGUUGUUAGCGAUCUCUAAUACUUAAAGAAGAAGAAGGGAGCAAAGGGCACAUUUCCGAGGACCAGAAGACGUGUAGGAGCACCUAUUCUGGCGAAGCCAACAGCUGACAUCGAGAAUAACCAUCUCCCCAUUUGGCAUCAAGGGACAGGAAUUCCAUGGACAUUCAACCAAUCACAAGAACUCACAUCCUCAGUUCCUCAUCUAUAAAAUACCGGCCAAGCCAGAAAGGCUUGGUCAGUCUACUCCGAUCUUUUUUGGGCUAGGACGAGGAGUAGUUCAUUAACCCAGCAUGCUGUUUAGAACUCCUCUGUCAAAAACUUAGGGCAAGAAAUUGUUGACUUUGAAAAUGUCGUUAUUGGAGUCCUUUAACGAAAACGAACAUGACUGGAACCUUGAGGAUUAAUCAUUUAACAGGUAAUUUAAAAAGGUUCCUUUAAUGUUCUGGAGUGGCCAAGUCAAAGUCUAGACUUGAACCCCAUUGAGAUGCUGUGGCAUGACCUAAAGACACCAACUCAUUCAACACAUCCCAGGAAUCUGACUGAAAUACAGCAGUUUUGUAGAGAAGAAUAGGCCCGGAUUAGUCCUGAUCGAUGUCCCGGACUGAUCUGCAGCUACAGGAAGCGUCUGGUUAAAGUUAUUGCUUCCAAAGUGUGGGCCACAAAAUAUUAAAUGUGAUAGUUCACUUACUUAUUUUCCCCUUUCUGUCAUUGUUUGCAUACUAUCCUCAUUGAAAUAUGAAAAGCCAUAGGCGGUGUUUGGCUUUUGGGGCGGGGGGGGCACAACAUGUUGAUGACCCCAAAACACAGUGUCAGCAAUAAAAUUAACUUACAAGAAUGUUUAUAACAAUAAGUUGAAAAUGAGCGUUUUUUUUUUGUUUCCCAUCAUUCUUGAGGGGAAUUCUAGAUCAGGCUGCUUAGGACAGCUGUACUUUUCGCCAAGAAGGUCAUCCAUUGAAUAUUGUGUGCCCGCCAGUGUAGUUACCCCAGUCAUAAUUGUAUCAUCUCAGCGGAGCCAUAUGGAGGUAGAUUUCUGUCGUCAUUAUUCGAUCCCAAAAAAAGUUGCUUUAAUCAAGAAAAAAAAAGUUCUAUCAAAAUAUAUAUUUUCAAUUAAAAAAAAAAGUCACCUCCAAAAAAAAUGUGUUUGAAGGCAAAAAUAAAGCUAUUAAAGCUGUUUGGUUUUUUUUUUUUUUUUGAUUGAAGUUAUUUAUUUAUUUAUUUAUUGGUUGAAGCAAGUAUUUUGAUUGAAGUAAUGUUGUUUUGCGUCUGGUACACAUUUUGGCUAGGACAUUUGUGUCUUUAUAAUUCAAUCAAAAAAUAUGUAUUUUCAACAACAAAAAAAUCAAAAAAAGAAACAUUUCAAUCAUACAAAAAAAGUUUUUGAAUGCGAAAAAAUAUUUGAGACUCAAAUAUUUGCAUUUUUCACUAAAUUUUGUUUUUCGAUUUUAGCAAUCCUUUUUGUGGGACAUUUGUGUCUAAAUCAUUCAAUCCCCCAAAAAGUUGCUUUAAUAAAAAAGAUGUAUUUAUUUUGUCAAACAAAGAAAAAAAAAAUCAUUUGAAAAUUAAAAUUGCCCUCCCCUCAUUUAAAAAAAAAAAAAAAAAAAAAAAUGCAAAGCAAA
Molecule: long non-coding RNA, 10101 nt
Organism: Corythoichthys intestinalis (scribbled pipefish)
Lineage: Eukaryota; Metazoa; Chordata; Actinopteri; Syngnathiformes; Syngnathidae
Exons: 5
Source: RefSeq, a predicted model, not a curated record